UACGAAGGGUGCAAGCGUUACUCGGAAUUACUGGGCGUAAAGCGUGCGUAGGUGGUUUGUUAAGUCUGAUGUGAAAGCCCUGGGCUCAACCUGGGAAUUGCAUUGGAUACUGGCAGGCUAGAGUGCGGUAGAGGGUAGUGGAAUUCCGAGUGUAGAGGUGAAAUUCGUAGAUAUUCGGAAGAACACCAGUGGCGAAGGCGACUUACUGGACACGUAUUGACGCUGAGGUGCGAAAGCGUGGGGAGCAAACAGG
This 253-nucleotide ribosomal RNA is filed under the name uncultured bacterium. RNAcentral describes it as "partial 16S ribosomal RNA". It matches the Rfam family "Bacterial small subunit ribosomal RNA", at positions 524 to 776 of the family's 1533-position model. The record is from RNAcentral.